AUACGGAGGAUGCGAGCGUUGUCCGGAUUUAUUGGGUUUAAAGGGUGCGUAGGCGGACGAUUAAGUCAGCUGUGAAAUGCCCGCGCUUAACGCGGGAAGUGCAGUUGAUACUGGUUGUCUGGAGUGCCGUUGCCGUGGGGGGAAUGUGUAGUGUAGCGGUGAAAUGCAUAGAUAUUGCCCAGAACACCGAUUGCGAAGGCAUCUCACGAAUCCGAGACUGACGCUGAGGCACGAAAGCGUGGGGAUCAAACAGGAUUAGAUACCCUGGUAGUCCACGCAGUAAACGAUGAUAACUAACCGUCGGCGAUAGAAUGUCGGUGGCCAAGCGAAAGCGAUAAGUUAUCCACCUGGGGAGUACGUUCGCAAGAAUGAAACUCAAAUGAAUUGACGGGG
This 393-nucleotide ribosomal RNA is filed under the name uncultured bacterium. RNAcentral describes it as "partial 16S ribosomal RNA". It matches the Rfam family "Bacterial small subunit ribosomal RNA", at positions 523 to 918 of the family's 1533-position model. The record is from RNAcentral.